GGGGGUGAAGUUCAGUGGUAGAGAGUAUUGUGCUUCACAUGCAUAAGGCCCUGGGUUCAAUUCCCAGCAUCCAUU
This 75-nucleotide transfer RNA is filed under the name Ictidomys tridecemlineatus (thirteen-lined ground squirrel). RNAcentral describes it as "Spermophilus tridecemlineatus (thirteen-lined ground squirrel) tRNA". It matches the Rfam family "tRNA". From Rfam's summary of the family: Transfer RNA (tRNA) molecules are approximately 80 nucleotides in length. The record is from Rfam by way of RNAcentral. Lineage: Eukaryota; Metazoa; Chordata; Mammalia; Rodentia; Sciuridae.